Molecule: ribosomal RNA, 460 nt
Filed under: uncultured bacterium
Lineage: Bacteria
Description: partial 16S ribosomal RNA
Rfam family: Bacterial small subunit ribosomal RNA
Source: RNAcentral
CCUACGGGCGGCAGCAGUGAGGAAUAUUGGUCAAUGGCCGUAAGGCUGAACCAGCCAAGUCGCGUGAAGGAAGAAGGAUCUAUGGUUUGUAAACUUCUUUUAUAGGGGAAUAAAGGUAUCCACGUGUGGAUAUUUGCAUGUACCCUAUGAAUAAGCAUCGGCUAACUCCGUGGCAGCAGCCGCGGUAAUACGGAGGAUGCGAGCGUUAUCCGGAUUUAUUGGGUUUAAAGGGUGCGUAGGUUGUUUUUUAAGUCAGCGGUGAAAGUUUGUGGCUCAACCAUAAAAUUGCCGUUGAAACUGGAAGACGUGAGUGUGUGUGAGGUAGGCGGAAUGCGUGGUGUAGCGGUGAAAUGCAGAGAUAGCACGCAGAAGUGCGAUUGCGAAGGGAGCUUACUGAGCCAUAACUGACGCUGAAGCACGAAAGCGUGGGGAUCAAACAGGAUUAGAUACCCGAGUAGUC